RNAcentral lists this ribosomal RNA (426 nucleotides) under uncultured bacterium. RNAcentral's name for it is "bacterial SSU rRNA". It matches the Rfam family "Bacterial small subunit ribosomal RNA", at positions 355 to 772 of the family's 1533-position model. The record is from RNAcentral.
UGGGGAAUAUUGCGCAAUGGGCGAAAGCCUGACGCAGCAACGCCGCGUGAGUGAUGAAGGCCUUCGGGUCGUAAAGCUCUGUCGGAGGGAACGAAUGCUUCUGAGGUUAACAGCCUCGGGAGGUGACGGUACCCUCAAAGGAAGCACCGGCUAACUCUGUGCCCGCAGCCGCGGUAAUACGGAGGGGGCUAGCGUUGUUCGGAAUUACUGGGCGUAAAGCGCACGUAGGCGGCUUUGUAAGUUAGAGGUGAAAGCCCAGGGCUCAACCCUGGAAUUGCCUUUAAGACUGCAUCGCUUGAACAUCGGAGAGGUAAGUGGAAUUCCGAGUGUAGAGGUGAAAUUCGUAGAUAUUCGGAAGAACACCAGUGGCGAAGGCGACUUACUGGACGAUUGUUGACGCUGAGGUGCGAAAGCGUGGGGAGCAAA